This 253-nucleotide ribosomal RNA is filed under the name uncultured bacterium. Its description in RNAcentral is "partial 16S ribosomal RNA". It matches the Rfam family "Bacterial small subunit ribosomal RNA", at positions 524 to 776 of the family's 1533-position model. The record is from RNAcentral.
UACGUAGGGUGCGAGCGUUGUCCGGAAUUAUUGGGCGUAAAGAGCUUGUAGGCGGUUUGUCGCGUCUGCUGUGAAACUCCGGGGCUCAACCCCGGACUUGCAGUGGGUACGGGCAGACUAGAGUGUGGUAGGGGAGACUGGAAUUCCUGGUGUAGCGGUGAAAUGCGCAGAUAUCAGGAGGAACACCGAUGGCGAAGGCAGGUCUCUGGGCCACUACUGACGCUGAGAAGCGAAAGCAUGGGGAGCGAACAGG